AGCUUUAGGGCUAGCCUCAAGUGAUGAUUAUUGGAGGUAGAGCACUGUUUGGACGAGGGGCCCCUCUCGGGUUACCGAAUUCAGACAAACUCCGAAUGCCAAUUAAUUUAACUUGGGAGUCAGAACAUGGGUGAUAAGGUCCGUGUUCGAAAGGGAAACAGCCCAGACCACCAGCUAAGGUCCCAAAAUAUAUGUUAAGUGGAAAAGGAUGUGGCGUUGCCCAGACAACUAGGAUGUUGGCUUAGAAGCAGCCAUCAUUUAAAGAGUGCGUAAUAGCUCACUAGUCGAGUGACACUGCGCCGAAAAUGUACCGGGGCUAAACAUAUUACCGAAGCUGUGGAUUGUCCUUUGGACAAUGGUAGGAGAGCGUUCUAAGGGCGUUGAAGCAUGAUCGUAAGGACAUGUGGAGCGCUUAGAAGUGAGAAUGCCGGUGUGAGUAGCGAAAGACGGGUGAGAAUCCCGUCCACCGAUUGACUAAGGUUUCCAGAGGAAGGCUCGUCCGCUCUGGGUUAGUCGGGUCCUAAGCUGAGGCCGACAGGCGUAGGCGAUGGAUAACAGGUUGAUAUUCCUGUACCACCUAUAAUCGUUUUAAUCGAUGGGGGGACGCAGUAGGAUAGGCGAAGCGUGCGAUUGGAUUGCACGUCUAAGCAGUAAGGCUGAGUAUUAGGCAAAUCCGGUACUCAUUAAGGCUGAGCUGUGAUGGGGAGAAGACAUUGUGUCUUCGAGUCGUUGAUUUCACACUGCCGAGAAAAGCCUCUAGAUAGAAAAUAGGUGCCCGUACCGCAAACCGACACAGGUAGUCAAGAUGAGAAUUCUAAGGUGAGCGAGCGAACUCUCGUUAAGGAACUCGGCAAAAUGACCCCGUAACUUCGGGAGAAGGGGUGCUCUUUAGGGUUAACGCCCAGAAGAGCCGCAGUGAAUAGGCCCAAGCGACUGUUUAUCAAAAACACAGGUCUCUGCUAAACCGUAAGGUGAUGUAUAGGGGCUGACGCCUGCCCGGUGCUGG
Molecule: ribosomal RNA, 1006 nt
Filed under: Staphylococcus aureus
Lineage: Bacteria; Bacillati; Bacillota; Bacilli; Caryophanales; Staphylococcaceae
Description: partial 23S ribosomal RNA
Rfam family: Bacterial large subunit ribosomal RNA
Source: RNAcentral